Molecule: long non-coding RNA, 911 nt
Organism: Salvia splendens (bonfire salvia)
Lineage: Eukaryota; Viridiplantae; Streptophyta; Magnoliopsida; Lamiales; Lamiaceae
Exons: 5
Source: RefSeq, a predicted model, not a curated record
GGCCGCCGCCGCUGCGCCGGCCGCCGUCGCCGUCGUCGCUCGGGAGAAAUUAAGAGGAGUUGAAAAAGAGCCAAGAAGUGUCGUUGUUUGCCGUAUUUCGCCACCACCGCCGGCUGCCGUCGCCGCCGCCGACCCGGCGCUGCUGCUGUUACUGACAGAGGACAGAAACUCCAGCCAGGAACAUGGCUUGGGAGAAAAAGUGGGCAUUCAAGACUAAAGAGUGGCUAUCCGAAAAGUGCCAUAAUGCCUAUUGCAAAGUGUUGGAUACAAAGGGUUGUAUAUAUAUGUAUAUAUUCACAUGUAUAGCUAGUGUAUUACUCAUGCCGCAAGGCAAGCAAUUUUCCCAACUUCUUGCACCUACUUGUUCGAGCAAUUUUCCUUUCUCCCAUCUUGGAGCUUGGGAAGGGGUGGACUGCAGGAGCAACUAGCUUCCUAUAUUGGACUCCCGGCCCUGAUGAAUAAAAUGAGUAGGGAAUGAGCUUCAUAAAAGGGAAUUUUAAUGCCAGAAAAGGAAGGUAGGAAGGUAAGACUGAUCUUGCAAAGAUGAUAGGAAAGAAAGAUGGCAUGGCAAUAUAUUUUUAAAGAAAACAAUUUAAUCGAUCAAUCAAAAUUGAAUGUUGGAAAGUUUCGAAGAUGAUCUAAAUUGACAGAGUACUACGUUUUUUUAUUCUGAUAAAGAUACACUGGUAGAUGUUUGCUUUCGGCAUUUUGGUAUGUGAGAAGGUACCAGGUUUCUAGCAGGCAGGAAAUCCGAGCUAUUAUUGUAGUCGUCAAAUCUUGGUCUUUGAGGAUUCUGGUAACUCUACUUCUCAUCUUUUUCGGGUGUCAUUCAAACCUGUAUAUACUCAACUUGUGAUGUUUCCUACUUAUACAUGAGUGCCUAACUGCUAUUUAUUCUCAUUCAUGCCUGA